GGGAGAGGCCUGGGCGCACCCCGGGACCCGCGUUGUGGGGAGCUCUAGCGCAGCCUCCUGUGGUGCCCAGCAGGAGAAGCGCUUUGGCCAAGGCGACUCCUUCCCCUUCCUGUGCUCCUGACCGCUCCUGGCGUCCUGGCGCCUGUUCCUGGGACACACCAGCCGUGUCCUGCCUGGGACAAUCACCUGGACUGCGCUUCUGCCUGGAACGCUGCUCCCUCCGUGUCUGGCUGGCCGCUUGCUGAGGUCCCUCUUUGCUGCAAGGCCUCUUUCUCCCUGGAGCCUGUUCUGAUCCCCCAUGCUGUUCCUCCCUUCCCCACUCCUUCCCAUGCCCCUGACUCCUUCUAACACACCACACCAUUGCUUCUUCUUCUUUUUUUAAAAAUCCGUUUGCUCUAAAAAGCAUUUCCUGUGCAACAGUGUGCUGUGUG
RNAcentral lists this long non-coding RNA (431 nucleotides) under Heterocephalus glaber (naked mole-rat). RNAcentral describes it as "lncRNA (ENSHGLG00000043403.1)". Lineage: Eukaryota; Metazoa; Chordata; Mammalia; Rodentia; Bathyergidae. The record is from RNAcentral.